GACGAACGCUGGCGGCGCGCCUAACACAUGCAAGUCGAACGAGAGAUGAAGAGCUUGCUCUUCAAAUCGAGUGGCGAACGGGUGAGUAACGCGUGAGGAACCUGCCUCAAAGAGGGGGACAACAGUUGGAAACGACUGCUAAUACCGCAUAAGCCCACGGCUCGGCAUCGAGCAGAGGGAAAAGGAGCAAUCCGCUUUGAGAUGGCCUCGCGUCCGAUUAGCUAGUUGGUGAGGUAACGGCCCACCAAGGCGACGAUCGGUAGCCGGACUGAGAGGUUGAACGGCCACAUUGGGACUGAGACACGGCCCAGACUCCUACGGGAGGCAGCAGUGGGGAAUAUUGCACAAUGGGGGAAACCCUGAUGCAGCGACGCCGCGUGGAGGAAGAAGGUCUUCGGAUUGUAAACUCCUGUUGUUGAGGAAGAUAAUGACGGUACUCAACAAGGAAGG
RNAcentral lists this ribosomal RNA (450 nucleotides) under uncultured bacterium. RNAcentral describes it as "bacterial SSU rRNA". It matches the Rfam family "Bacterial small subunit ribosomal RNA", at positions 28 to 491 of the family's 1533-position model. The record is from RNAcentral.